This 836-nucleotide ribosomal RNA is filed under the name uncultured archaeon. RNAcentral describes it as "bacterial SSU rRNA". It matches the Rfam family "Archaeal small subunit ribosomal RNA", at positions 28 to 871 of the family's 1478-position model. The record is from RNAcentral.
UGCUAUNGGAUUGAUANUAAGCCNUGNGAGUCANNUAGUAAUACAAGGCAGACGGCUCAGUAACGCGUAGUCAACCUACCCUAUGGACGGGGAUAACCUCGGGAAACUGGGAAUAAUACCCGAUAGANCAUUAUGCCUGGAAUGGUUUAUGUUUCAAAUAAUUUAUUGCCGUAGGAUGGGACUGCGGCCUAUCAGUUUGUUGGUGAGGUAAUGGCCCACCAAGACUAUUACAGGUACGGGCUCUGAGAGGAGUAGCCCGGAGAUGGGUACUGAGACACGGACCCAGGCCUUAUGGGGCGCAGCAGGCGAGAAAACUUUGCAAUGUGCGAAAGCACGACAAGGUUAAUCCGAGUGGUUUCUGCUAAAGGAACCUUUUGUCAGUCCUAGAAACACUGAUGAAUAAGGGGUGGGCAAGUUCUGGUGUCAGCCGCCGCGGUAAAACCAGCACCUCAAGUGGUCAGGAUGAUUAUUGGGCCUAAAGCAUCCGUAGCCUGCUUUGUAAGUUUUCGGUUAAAUCCAUACGCUCAACGUAUGGGCUGCCGGGAAUACUGCAAAGCUAGGGAGUGGGAGAGGUAGACGGUACUCGGUAGGAAGGGGUAAAAUCCUUUGAUCUAUUGAUGACCACCUGUGGCGAAGGCGGUCUACCAGAACACGUCCGACGGUGAGGGAUGAAAGCUGGGGGAGCAAACCGGAUUAGAUACCCGGGUAGUCCCAGCUGUAAACUAUGCAAACUCAGUGAUGCAUUGGCUUGAUGCCAAUGCAGUGCUGCAGGGAAGCCGUUAAGUUUGCCGCCUGGGAAGUACGUACGCAAGUAUGAAACUUAAAGGAAUUGGCGG